This 420-nucleotide ribosomal RNA is filed under the name uncultured bacterium. RNAcentral describes it as "bacterial SSU rRNA". It matches the Rfam family "Bacterial small subunit ribosomal RNA", at positions 356 to 773 of the family's 1533-position model. The record is from RNAcentral.
GAGGAAUAUUGGACAAUGGAUGGAAAUCUGAUCCAGCCAUGCCGCGUGCAGGAAGACGGUCCUAUGGAUUGUAAACUGCUUUUAUAUGGGAGCAAUAAGGUCUUUGCGAAGACUGAUGAGAGUACCAUAUGAAUAAGCAUCGGCUAACUCCGUGCCAGCAGCCGCGGUAAUACGGAGGAUGCGAGCGUUAUCCGGAUUUAUUGGGUUUAAAGGGUGCGUAGGCGGUCUGAUAAGUCAGUGGUGAAAGUUUUCAGCUUAACUGGAAAAAUGCCGUUGAUACUGUCAGGCUAGAAUAUGGCUGCUGUGAGUGGAAUGUGUGGUGUAGCGGUGAAAUGCUUAGAUAUCACACAGAAUAUCGAUUGCGAAGGCAGCUCACAAAGCCAUUAUUGACGCUGAGGCACGAAAGUGUGGGGAUCAAAC